Molecule: long non-coding RNA, 168 nt
Organism: Dermochelys coriacea (leatherback sea turtle)
Lineage: Eukaryota; Metazoa; Chordata; Testudines; Dermochelyidae
Exons: 3
Source: RefSeq, a predicted model, not a curated record
UUUUGACCAGUUCUCAAUCUGUGAAAGGAUCUUCCCUCUUAUCCAAUGACAGCUUACUUUGCUUAAGAGCCUUUGAUGAGGGAUCUUGUCAAGCUUUCUGAAAAUCUAAGUACACUAUAUCUACUGGAUUGCCCUUGGCCACAUGUUUAUUGACCCCCUUAAAGUAUU